Molecule: ribosomal RNA, 426 nt
Filed under: uncultured Halanaerobiaceae bacterium
Lineage: Bacteria; Bacillati; Bacillota; Clostridia; Halanaerobiales; Halanaerobiaceae
Description: bacterial SSU rRNA
Rfam family: Bacterial small subunit ribosomal RNA
Source: RNAcentral
GGGGAAUCUUCCGCAAUGGGCGAAAGCCUGACGGAGCAACGCCGCGUGAACGAAGAAGGCCUUCGGGUCGUAAAGUUCUGUCCUCAGGGAAGAACCCUCAUGGUAGGGAAUGACCAUGAGCUGACGGUACCUGGGAAGGAAGCCCUGGCUAACUACGUGCCAGCAGCCGCGGUAAUACGUAGAGGGCAAGCGUUGUCCGGAAUCACUGGGCGUAAAGGGUACGUAGGCGGAUAUAUAAGUCAAAUGUGAAAGGCACCGGCUUAACCGGUGAGCUGCAUUUGAAACUGUAUAUCUUGAGUUCAGGAGAGGAGAGUGGAAUUCCCGGUGUAGCGGUGAUAUGCGUAGAUACCGGGAGGAACACCAGUGGCGAAGGCGGCUUUCUGGACUGCACCUGACGCUGAGGCGCGAAAGCCAGGGGAGCGAACG